This 758-nucleotide long non-coding RNA is filed under the name Ananas comosus (pineapple). RNAcentral's name for it is "long non-coding RNA (ACOM_LNC004612)". Lineage: Eukaryota; Viridiplantae; Streptophyta; Magnoliopsida; Poales; Bromeliaceae. The record is from RNAcentral.
AUUAUUGUUCUCAUCUCUUUAGAUGCCUCUUAGGGUGCGUUUGGUUCGCACUAUAAAAAAUUACUAGAAAUAAAAAGAUGUCCGAAAAUUUUAUUCAUAUUCAUUCUAUUACUAAAAAUGUGGUAUUACUGUGUUUGGUUCGUACGGUCAUAUUAUUUAGUCAUGUUAUUUAAGAUUACAAAAAAAUAUACAAUUAAUUUAUUUAUUUCUUUAAUUAAUUUUAGAUAAUGCUACAAAAAAAUUUAAUAUUUUUUUAGAAAAAGGGGAGAAAGAACAUAGGUUAGAGAGAGAAAGCAUAAUUAAAGAAAUAGGAAGAGAAAUAGAGUCGAGAUUAGAGGGAGUGAGAGAAUUGAGAUUUUAGGGGAAAAAAGGGGAGAGAGAGUUUAAUUUAGAGAGAGAAAAAGAAUUGGAGUUUAGAGAGAAAAAGAUAAGUUUAAAGAGAGAUAUGAGGUUAGAGUGUAAAAAAAAAUAAUAGUAACUAUCCGGCGGAUAGGAAGAAAGAAAAAGAUUAGAUAUAUUAUGAUUAUCCCAAUCCAUUAAUAUGAAGAUACCACACUCUCUCAAGAGAAUGAGAUUAGUAAUUUGGGAUGAAUCUCAUUCCCAAGUAAAUCUAAUAUUACUAACUAGAUUACUUAGUGCACUUAGCAAAACACCGUCAUAUUUUGUUAUUCCUGUUAGAUUACUAGAAAUCUUAAAAAGAUAAUGCGAAUCAAACGCACCCUUACGGUUAAAAAGGAGAAGGAAAAAAAAAAAAAAAA